Molecule: ribosomal RNA, 965 nt
Filed under: Leuconostoc mesenteroides
Lineage: Bacteria; Bacillati; Bacillota; Bacilli; Lactobacillales; Lactobacillaceae
Description: bacterial SSU rRNA
Rfam family: Bacterial small subunit ribosomal RNA
Source: RNAcentral
UAAAUACGUGCCAGCAGCCGCGGUAAUACGUAUGUCCCGAGCGUUAUCCGGAUUUAUUGGUCGUAAAGCGAGCGCAGACGGUUUAUUAAGUCUGAUGUGAAAGCCCGGAGCUCAACUCCGGAAUGGCAUUGGAAACUGGUUAACUUGAGUGCAGUAGAGGUAAGUGGAACUCCAUGUGUAGCGGUGGAAUGCGUAGAUAUAUGGAAGAACACCAGUGGCGAAGGCGGCUUACUGGACUGCAACUGACGUUGAGGCUCGAAAGUGUGGGUAGCAAACAGGAUUAGAUACCCUGGUAGUCCACACCGUAAACGAUGAACACUAGGUGUUAGGAGGUUUCCGCCUCUUAGUGCCGAAGCUAACGCAUUAAGUGUUCCGCCUGGGGAGUACGACCGCAAGGUUGAAACUCAAAGGAAUUGACGGGGACCCGCACAAGCGGUGGAGCAUGUGGUUUAAUUCGAAGCAACGCGAAGAACCUUACCAGGUCUUGACAUCCUUUGAAGCUUUUAGAGAUAGAAGUGUUCUCUUCGGAGACAAAGUGACAGGUGGUGCAUGGUCGUCGUCAGCUCGUGUCGUGAGAUGUUGGGUUAAGUCCCGCAACGAGCGCAACCCUUAUUGUUAGUUGCCAGCAUUCAGAUGGGCACUCUAGCGAGACUGCCGGUGACAAACCGGAGGAAGGCGGGGACGACGUCAGAUCAUCAUGCCCCUUAUGACCUGGGCUACACACGUGCUACAAUGGCGUAUACAACGAGUUGCCAGCCCGCGAGGGUGAGCUAAUCUCUUAAAGUACGUCUCAGUUCGGAUUGUAGUCUGCAACUCGACUACAUGAAGUCGGAAUCGCUAGUAAUCGCGGAUCAGCACGCCGCGGUGAAUACGUUCCCGGGUCUUGUACACACCGCCCGUCACACCAUGGGAGUUUGUAAUGCCCAAAGCCGGUGGCCUAACCUUUAGGAAGGAGCCUUUAAAGC